Molecule: ribosomal RNA, 253 nt
Filed under: uncultured bacterium
Lineage: Bacteria
Description: partial 16S ribosomal RNA
Rfam family: Bacterial small subunit ribosomal RNA
Source: RNAcentral
GACGUAGGGUGCGAGCGUUGUCCGGAUUUAUUGGGCGUAAAGAGCUCGUAGGCGGCUCGUCGCGUCGACCGUGAAAACCCGCGGCUUAACUGCGGGCUUGCGGUUGAUACGGGCGGGCUAGAGUUCGGUAGGGGAGACUGGAAUUCCUGGUGUAGCGGUGAAAUGCGCAGAUAUCAGGAGGAACACCGGUGGCGAAGGCGGAUCUCUGGGCCUUACCUGACGCUGAGGCGCAAAAGCUAGGGGAGCAAACAGG